RNAcentral lists this non-coding RNA (88 nucleotides) under Pseudomonas fluorescens. The record is from RNAcentral. Lineage: Bacteria; Pseudomonadati; Pseudomonadota; Gammaproteobacteria; Pseudomonadales; Pseudomonadaceae.
UGUUAUGGCAGCUGUGCGCGGGACGCCUUCGGGUGUGCCGGGUAUCACUGAGGCCCGGUCGACCAACCUGCGUACAGCUGUCACCCUU